This 72-nucleotide transfer RNA is filed under the name Camelus bactrianus (Bactrian camel). It matches the Rfam family "tRNA". From Rfam's summary of the family: Transfer RNA (tRNA) molecules are approximately 80 nucleotides in length. Their secondary structure includes four short double-helical elements and three loops (D, anti-codon, and T loops). Further hydrogen bonds mediate the characteristic L-shaped molecular structure. tRNAs have two regions of fundamental functional importance: the anti-codon, which is responsible for specific mRNA codon recognition, and the 3' end, to which the tRNAs corresponding amino acid is attached (by aminoacyl-tRNA synthetases). tRNAs cope with the degeneracy of the genetic code in two manners: having more than one tRNA (with a specific anti-codon) for a particular amino acid; and 'wobble' base-pairing, i.e. permitting non-standard base-pairing at the 3rd anti-codon position. Lineage: Eukaryota; Metazoa; Chordata; Mammalia; Artiodactyla; Camelidae. RNAcentral also lists the same sequence under 1 other name. The record is from Rfam by way of RNAcentral.
GAAGGCAUAGCUCAGUGGUAGAGUGUGUGCUUAGCAUGCACAAGGUCCUGGGUUUGAUCCCCAGUACCUCCA